This 422-nucleotide ribosomal RNA is filed under the name uncultured bacterium. Its description in RNAcentral is "bacterial SSU rRNA". It matches the Rfam family "Bacterial small subunit ribosomal RNA", at positions 359 to 776 of the family's 1533-position model. The record is from RNAcentral.
GAAUCUUGGGCAAUGGGCGAAAGCCUGACCCAGCGACGCCGCGUGGGGGAGGAAGUCCUUCGGGACGUAAACCCUACAAGUGAGGGACGAAUAAGGCCAGGUUAAUACCCUGGUUGAUGACGGUACCUCAUGUAAGCCCCGGCUAACUACGUGCCAGCAGCCGCGGUAAUACGUAGGGGGUGAGCGUUGUCCGGAAUUACUGGGCGUAAAGCGCGCGUAGGCGGCUUGGUAAGUCGGUUGUGGAAGCCCCGGGCUCAACUCGGGAAUGGCGACCGAAACUGCCAGGCUCGAGUGCGGUAGGGGGUGCUGGAAUUCCUGGUGUAGCGGUGAAAUGCAUAGAUAUCAGGAGGAACACCGGUGGCGAAGGCGGGCACCUGGGCCGCCACUGACGCUGAGGCGCGAAAGCUAGGGGAGCAAACCGG